GUCCAAAACCUGGCAACUCGCCUUGGCCCACCAGCCAUAGACACACACUCACCUCCCAAACCCCGUCUUCCUCACCAGACGCGUGUUCGCAGUCGCCUCAAGCACUUAUGGAAGUUCUGGCCGCCGCCGCCGGCUCCUACUCGAGCAGUCAAAUCGCAUUUGCUGCUAAGGCUGCCCGAAACCCUAUGCACGCGUAUACAUCCUACCUAUAUCUUCAAUGGUUCAGACUCGGAAUCAAAGCAAGGCUGCCCGGAGAGAGAAACCAGAUCCAAGCGACGCCCGGCGAAGGCUGGCCGGAGGGAUUGGGUAGGCGCUGCGACCAGCGAAGGCCAGGAGAUUCAAACGACCCCGGGUAUGUUCGUUCUUCCAACCCGUUUUCAGUAGGACCUCGGGUUUAGGGUGGUCGGACGCUAGCAGCCAGAUACCGGUGGACCGAGCGCUGGUCGCCGCCUCGCCUGACUGCUCGGCUGCUGCCUCUCGGACGAGGGGCACAACUCCACUUGUUUACAAGCCGCCGCUGCCGCCGCCCUCGGCGGCAAAUUUGUAGGAGGCGUUGCAUGGCUCGCCUCUGCUAGCUGUAGAUUCAGGGUGGUAAAUGCUUAGGUUUGUUCUAAAAUUUGAUGUGAUGUGCAAAUUUAGCUAUAUUCAUGGCGUGUUGGUUUAAUAAGUGUGGUGAUCCACCUAGUGUUUCCUAAUAGUGUCCAGAUUCACCUAGUGUCUACUAUGGAGUGUGGUGAUUCACUGAAAACAAGCAGUUCGUGAUAAAUUUAGUCUUGAUAGCUCUUGUAAUAUUGUUAGUCGUUGCUGUAGUAGAGAGCUGCAGUAAAAUGCUGGACAGCAGGGUGACUGCUUAAAGAUUAUGUGGUGCUCAAUAUUGAGAAUUCUAGAGCUUUGGUAAUUCUUUAAUGAAGAAAUGUCCUUGACACAGCUGAUUUUUUGCAGAUUCAGCCAAGUAGUGUGAGCUCAUCCAGUUCUUUCACUCAGUUGAAGAUGCCCUUGAAGAAGGUUUGUUCCCUUUUUCAACUUUACUGUUUUUUCUGCUAAAAGAAGCAUUGCCUCUAAUAUUGACUGGUUUGAUAUAUAGAGAGUUCGAACAGAUGGGAAUCAUGAGCCACAUUUGGAAGAUUCAGGAAGUCUUGGUGUUCUGGUAUAGAGCCGGCCCCCGCCUACACAGCAGACAAC
RNAcentral lists this long non-coding RNA (1182 nucleotides) under Triticum aestivum (bread wheat). RNAcentral describes it as "long non-coding RNA (TAES_LNC023307)". The record is from RNAcentral. Lineage: Eukaryota; Viridiplantae; Streptophyta; Magnoliopsida; Poales; Poaceae.